GCAGCCAUGCCGCGUGUGUGAAGAAGGCCUUCGGGUUGUAAAGCACUUUCAGUCGUGAGGAAGGUGUGUAGUUAAUAGCUGCAUUAUUUGACGUUAGCGACAGAAGAAGCACCGGCUAACUCCGUGCCAGCAGCCGCGGUAAUACGGAGGGUGCGAGCGUUAAUCGGAAUUACCGGGCGUAAAGCGCAUGCAGGUGGUUUGUUAAGUCAGAUGUGAAAGCCCGGGGCUCAACCUCGGAAUAGCAUUUGAAACUGGCAGACUAGAGUACUGUAGAGGGGGGUAGAAUUUCAGGUGUAGCGGUGAAAUGCGUAGAGAUCUGAAGGAAUACCGGUGGCGAAGGCGGCCCCCUGGACAGAUACUGACACUCAGAUGCGAAAGCGUGGGGAGCAAACAGGAUUAGAUACCCUGGUAGUCCACGCCGUAACGAUGUCUACUUGGAGGUUGUGGCCUUGAGCCGUGGCUUUCGGAGCUAACGCGUUAAGUAGACCGCCUGGGGAGUACGGUCGCAAGAUUAAAACUCAAAUGAAUUGACGGGGGCCCGCACAAGCGGUGGAGCAUGUGGUUUAAUUCGAUGCAACGCGAAGAACCUUACCUACUCUUGACAUCCAGAGAACUUUCCAGAGAUGGAUUGGUGCCUUCGGGAACUCUGAGACAGGUGCUGCAUGGCUGUCGUCAGCUCGUGUUGUGAAAUGUUGGGUUAAGUCCCGCAACGAGCGCAACCCUUAUCCUUGUUUGCCAGCGAGUAAUGU
RNAcentral lists this ribosomal RNA (749 nucleotides) under Vibrio sp. 43BHI7. RNAcentral describes it as "bacterial SSU rRNA". It matches the Rfam family "Bacterial small subunit ribosomal RNA", at positions 388 to 1131 of the family's 1533-position model. Lineage: Bacteria; Pseudomonadati; Pseudomonadota; Gammaproteobacteria; Vibrionales; Vibrionaceae. The record is from RNAcentral.